AGGUCCAUGAUUAGGACAACUCUUCAAGAUAGCUUUGAAACUCUCCCAAGCUUCAUGGAAAGAUUCAAGAUCAAAUUGGGAAAAAGUCAUGAUAUCAUUCCGGAUUU
Molecule: small nucleolar RNA, 107 nt
Organism: Tripterygium wilfordii
Lineage: Eukaryota; Viridiplantae; Streptophyta; Magnoliopsida; Celastrales; Celastraceae
Source: RefSeq, a predicted model, not a curated record